This 460-nucleotide ribosomal RNA is filed under the name uncultured bacterium. RNAcentral describes it as "partial 16S ribosomal RNA". It matches the Rfam family "Bacterial small subunit ribosomal RNA", at positions 338 to 795 of the family's 1533-position model. The record is from RNAcentral.
CCUACGGGGGGCAGCAGUGAGGAAUAUUGGUCAAUGGACGAGAGUCUGAACCAGCCAAGUAGCUUGAAGGAUGACUGCCCUAUGGGUUGUAAACUUCUUUUAUAUGGGAAUAAAAUGUUCCACGUGUGGGAUUUUGUAUGUACCCUAUGAAUAAGGAUCGGCUAACUCCGUGCCAGCAGCCGCGGUAAUACGGAGGAUCCGAGCGUUAUCCGGAUUUAUUGGGUUUAAAGGGAGCGUAGGUGGAUUGUUAAGUCAGUUGUGAAAGUUUGCGGCUCAACCGUAAAAUUGCAGUUGAAACUGGCAGUCUUGAGUACAGUAGAGGUGGGCGGAAUUCGUGGUGUAGCGGUGAAAUGCUUAGAUAUCACGAAGAACUCCGAUUGCGAAGGCAGUUCACUGGACUGCAACUGACACUGAGGCUCGAAAGUGUGGGUAUCAAACAGGAUUAGAUACCCGGGUAGUC